Molecule: ribosomal RNA, 118 nt
Filed under: Clostridiaceae bacterium Marseille-Q4145
Lineage: Bacteria; Bacillati; Bacillota; Clostridia; Eubacteriales; Clostridiaceae
Source: RNAcentral
UCUGGUGGCGAUGCGCUUAGGGGACACACCCGUUCCCAUCCCGAACACGAUGGUUAAGACCUAAGCGGCCGAUGGUACUAUGCUGGAGACGGCAUGGGAGAGCAGGUGGCUGCCAGAU